This 252-nucleotide ribosomal RNA is filed under the name uncultured bacterium. RNAcentral's name for it is "partial 16S ribosomal RNA". It matches the Rfam family "Bacterial small subunit ribosomal RNA", at positions 524 to 776 of the family's 1533-position model. The record is from RNAcentral.
UACGUAGGUCCCGAGCGUUGUCCGGAAUUACUGGGUGUAAAGGGAGCGUAGGCGGGGAUGCAAGUUGGGUGUCAAAACUACCGGCUCAACUGGUAGUCGCACUCAAAACUGCAGCUCUUGAGUGAAGUAGAGGCAGGCGGAAUUCCUAGUGUAGCGGUGAAAUGCGUAGAUAUUAGGAGGAACACCAGUGGCGAAGGCGGCCUGCUGGGCUUUUACUGACGCUGAGGCUCGAGAGUGUGGGGAGCAAACAGG